AUGGAAGUGUCGCGCCUCAAAACGUUCAUGAGGAACAAUGCAAGGCUGCAAUCACUUGGACUACCUACAUUAUCAACAUUGUUUGCAAACAAAGCUGUCAUUUCACCUGAAAAAAGAAAGCCCGAGCAUACUUGUGAUGAAUCUGAAGCUGAGUACCAUCCUAACGAGGAGGAUACCAAUGAAGGAGACUCGUCUGAUGAUAGUUUAAUAGAUGAGAGGGAAGUACUGCAAGACUUAAAGUCCACACCAUCUCCUAGCUCAAAGUUGAAGGGGUUGAACGACUGUAAGAAGACCAGUGAGGGAACUAAUAAGAAAAGAUCUACUGCCAUGGCCCCUGGUGGAAUCAAGCCUCGGCCUCCUAAAAGAAUUCAUGCGGAGCUUCCAACGAAUGUGCGAGUCACAAGGUCGAACAAAAGACUAUUACUAGAUGCUGAUGCAAGUCCUCAAAGUGAAGGGGUGUCAGAUCCUAAAUAUCAAACACCAAUUGCAAUCCAUGGCGACCGUGCCCAUUCUGAUGAUGACUACUGGAUGAGCAAUGGAUCUGAUCUCAUUGCCCGUCAUGAUGAUGGCAACCAUAUGGACUUCAAAGCUGGUGGGAAACGAUCCUAUGAGGAGACAAGGGAAAGGGGGGUCAAUAUUGGAAAAGGCCUGGAAAGGAUCAGUCGACGUCGGGGGGGGGGGGCAAGCUGCCGCUUGUCAUUCCAGAAGGGAGGUUAA
This 717-nucleotide ribosomal RNA is filed under the name Triticum aestivum (bread wheat). RNAcentral's name for it is "partial small subunit ribosomal RNA". Lineage: Eukaryota; Viridiplantae; Streptophyta; Magnoliopsida; Poales; Poaceae. The record is from RNAcentral.